CCCUUAGAUGUCCGGGGCCGCACGCGCGCUACACUGAAGGAAUCAGCGUGGCUUUCUCCCUGACCCGAAAGGGUUGGGAAACCCGUUGAAUCUCCUUCGUGAUAGGGAUUGGGGCUUGAAAUUGUUCCCCAUGAACGAGGAAUUCCCAGUAAGCGCGAGUCAUAAGCUCGCGUUGAUUACGUCCCUGCCCUUUGUACACACCGCCCGUCGCUACUACCGAUUGAACGGUUUAGUGAGGGCCUCGGAUUGGUCUCGGCCCGCUCUUUACCGGGCGGCGCCUUUGGUCGAGAAGACGCUCGAACUUGAUCGUUUAGAGGAAGUAAAAGUCGUAACA
Molecule: ribosomal RNA, 334 nt
Filed under: uncultured eukaryote
Lineage: Eukaryota
Description: partial 18S ribosomal RNA
Rfam family: Eukaryotic small subunit ribosomal RNA
Source: RNAcentral